UAAAGUGAUUCAUAAGUUUUAUGCUUUAAGGACUAAAUUGAAAGAAUUUCAAAAUUAUGGUUUUAUGAUGAAAAUAGAUAAUUAUGUCUAAGUUUGGUUAAAAAUUGAGUAGAAGUAAAGUAUGAAUUAAGAUAGAAAAGUAAGUGAAUUUAGUUAGGAUUAAAUUGAAAUUAAAAGUAGAAAAUCAACAUUUUGCACUAAGACUAUUUUGGACAGC
Molecule: long non-coding RNA, 217 nt
Filed under: Gossypium barbadense (sea-island cotton)
Lineage: Eukaryota; Viridiplantae; Streptophyta; Magnoliopsida; Malvales; Malvaceae
Description: long non-coding RNA (GBAR_LNC012708)
Source: RNAcentral